Long non-coding RNA from Mesocricetus auratus (golden hamster), 901 nucleotides. RefSeq lists it as uncharacterized. NCBI's taxonomy places the organism in Eukaryota, Metazoa, Chordata, Mammalia, Rodentia, Cricetidae. The transcript has 4 exons. The record is from RefSeq and is a predicted model, not a curated record.
AUGUAACUGCCAUGGGGUAGGAAACCUGGAACUAUUCUCCGAGUGUAUAAGACUGAGAUUUUCAAAUGAAGAGCAACCCAGGUCGAAGAGGAAAGACGGGCAACAUCUGGAUGGGACCACAGAGCUUCCAGGCUGAUGCUCAGCCACACGCAAAGCACACCAAGCAAGCAACAAAAAAGAGCAAACUGCACCUCUCCACGCCAUGCACCACGUCAUCUUGAUCUGAAGACUUAUUCUGUGAAGCCUUAAACACACUGGGAAGGGAGAAUUUUCAGGUUAACGAAGCAAACGCCCGGAGAUACAGGCAUUUCACGGACAGGCUUAGUCACUCCUGCUUGAACAGCUGCUUCCCUGCGCCAUGUCUAAGGUCGGGUUCAUCCAUGGCAGAGCUCAGCAGCUCUCACUCAAGUUGGAUGAAUGCAUGAAAGAGUUUUCUGUUGACAUUAUUCUGAUGCUUCCAGGGGACCAGUUCCUACCCUCGCUCAGGAAGAUUCUGCCCCUUCGUGGUGGGAGGUGGACUCGAUUAAAGGACUAGGGUAGAUAAAAGCUUUUGUCUGAGAGUCUGAAUUCCUGAGAACUGCUCAAGGUCAACCAGAUGUACCAAAUAUACCCUGCCCCUCCUGGCUUCCAAGCUCUCCCCUUUAUUUUUAACAAUUUUCUUCUUUUGUGAUCACCACUUUUUAUGCAAAAUCCAAAGAGGAAAUGGAGUGGACUGUCUUAAAACCUGUUGGGGGAAGGUGGGAUAAAUACAUGCCACAGAUAACAGCUGCAAUUCCUCAACUUCGCACUUCCCUUUGGAUAUGCUCUCACAGCGCAUCCUCACUCUCAGGCUGCACGCUAACAGCCUUUAAGAUUGUGGACAUGGUAAGGAAAAGAAAAAGAUUGUGUACAUGAUAUCUAA